Molecule: long non-coding RNA, 2596 nt
Filed under: Canis lupus familiaris (dog)
Lineage: Eukaryota; Metazoa; Chordata; Mammalia; Carnivora; Canidae
Description: lncRNA (ENSCAFG00030020917.1)
Source: RNAcentral
AUGAACGGCACACCGACUUCUCCCUCUGAAGGCUCCUCUUUUUGGAGAGCGCUGGAAUGUUCUGGGUGCUGGGCGCCCACCAGCAUCCCCAGCUCCCACCCCUGGCUAACUUCCCUGGUCUUUCUCUCCCUGCUUCCACAGGACCUCUUCCCUGGGCGCCGUGUCUUCCAUAACGUUGAAGGAAAGGCACCACGGCCCGUGUCAGCGAGCUCGGUCAGGCGGGCCUCCCGCCCCUGCCCCGACUCCCAGAGAAACCCGAGCCCAACAUGCGUCCUUGGGCCCAGCACCCUCCUCGCAUCUGCUUCAGGGUGGAGGACAGCGCAGGUUCCAGUCCUUUCCGGCCCAGGCGCCCGACUGCUCGGCGAGGCCCCAGGAUGGGCCUGGAAGGCCGUGGACCCUGCAGCUCCAGCCCACGGCCCAGCCUCAGGACGGCCACAUGCAAGCCUCACAGUCCCUGCACUGCCGGCAGGCCUGCCACGGAGCAGGUGCACGAGGAUUCCAGCCGCUGCCCCGCGUCUGCCGGGGGCACAGGGACCCUUGUCAACCCCCACCGAAGGGAAGUCAGGGGACCGCAGGCUGAGCUCUUCCCCGUGUAUCAGUUUCCUGCGGCUGCUGUGACAAAUCAUCAUAAACUGGCUCAGCACCAGCAACAAAAAUGUACCUUCCCACAGUUCUAGAAGCCAGAAGUCUGGAGUCAGUAGCUCUGGGCUGAAAUUAAGGAACGAGGAGGGCUACGCACACCCUCCAGAGGCUCUCAGGAGGCGAGGAAUCCAUCCCUUGCCUCUCCCAACUUCUGCUGGCCCCGGGCAUUCCUCGGCUUGGGGCCCCUCACUCUAAUCUGUGUAUCUGUGGUCAUGUCACUUUCUCCUCAUCUGUUUUUUUUUAAUUAAUUUAUUUUAUUUUUUAAUUAUUAUUAUUUUUAAAGAUUUUAUUUAUUUAUUCAUGAGAGGCAGAGACACAGGCAGAGGGAGGAGCAGGGUCCGUGCGGGGAGCCCGGUGCAGGACUCGAUCCUGGGACCCCGGGGUCACGGCCUGAGCCGAAGGCAGACGCUCACCCGCGGAGCCACCCGGGCGGCCCUAAUUAUUAUUAUUUUUUUUUUUACGAAGGCUCCACACCCAGCGUGGGCCUUGACCUCAUGACCCUGAGAUCAAGCGUUGCAUGCUCUAUCAACAGAACCAGCCAGACGCGCCCUCUUUUCUGUGUAUCAGAUCUUUCUCCGCCUCUCUCCUGCAAGAAUAUGUGUGAUUGCAUCUUGGACCCAGAUGGGUCAUCCAGGGCGGCCUUUCUAUUCUGAGAUCCUUAACCACAUCUGGAUUAAGUUGAACUUCAUCUCCUCUGCAUUAUAGCAACGUCCUUUUUGUUUUUGUGCCACGUAAGGUGACAACCAGAGGUUCCAGGGAUUUAAGAGCGAGAGAUAAUUGAGGGCCCAGCCUGCGGCCAGUCUGGCUGACGGACCCAGAGCCCAAGUGCCCAGUGUCACGCCGCGGGGACCCGGCUCUGGCAGAGAGCUCAGACCCUCAGGCGGCCCAAAGGAGAUUCCCGCUCCUUGGUGUUCCGUAGCCCGCGAGUCCCUGCGCGGGUGUGCUCGAGGCGCCCCUGACCCUUGUCCGAAUCAGCAGCGUGGGGAGCACCCUCCCUGACUCCCCCUCGAGAACCCGGCCCCCCUCUGAAGCUGGAGCUGGGGGGGGCCACGGAAACGGGUGGUGGGAAGGAGGUUUGCGGGGCUGAUUCAGGACCCUGAGACGGGCAGAUGGGCCGGGGCUCCCCGCAGACCCAGCCGCCGUCCCCCGCGGGAGUGACAGGGGCGUCUGGCACGCAGAGGAGAAGGCCGCGUGACCACAGACGAGGGGGGUAUCGAAUGUCGGGAUGUCGCAGCCACAAGCCGGGGCCUGCAGCCGCCACCCGAUGCUGCGAGAAACGAAGAACAAAGUCUCCCCCAGGGUCCCGGAGUCUCCCCAGGGCCCCGUGACCUCGCAUGACCUCGGCCCACGAGCCUGACUUGGGGGGACGCGGUUGUGCUGUGCAAAGCCACCCGGUGCCUGCCGAUUCGUCGUGCGGGAAGCACGGGGGACGAGUACAGUGGGUGACCUGGCGGGGUUGACUUCUAGUGUUCCCUCAACACCUACCAGGCGCCUACUGUAUGCCGAGCGCUGCGGCAGGUGCGAGGGGCAGCCGGGGACGGGACCGCUGCGUGGGGGCGCCCCAAAGUGACCGCCGUGACGAGCCAGCUCCAGGGUCCCAGGGGCUCAGUGGUGCGGCAUCUGCCUCGGACCCAGGGCGACCCCGGGGUCCCGGGAUCGAGUCCCGCAGUGAAUUCGGGAAGUCCUUGGUGAUUCAUCAGAAGCGGGGGUGGGCUUGGGGACCCUCCCUGGGAAGUGAGGGGGGUCUUGGGAGCUGCCCCUGCAUUCCCAGUUCCCGCCCGUUUUUGUGCCGUGGACCGACUCCCCCGAAGCCAGGUGAGGCCGACAGACCGUUCCCGGGGUAAUGUUCUUAAACGCGUAAGGUGAAAUAUAAAGUAUUCAAAGAAAACCAGUCCCAUCGAAACCCAAGUAUGGAGGCAGGUGCUUCUUUAUGGCCGCGGUAAACGACAAGGCC